This 329-nucleotide unclassified non-coding RNA is filed under the name soil metagenome. RNAcentral's name for it is "partial contains 5.8S ribosomal RNA, internal transcribed spacer 2, and large subunit ribosomal RNA". The stretch from base 1 to 120 matches the Rfam family "5.8S ribosomal RNA", at positions 35 to 154 of the family's 154-position model. The record is from RNAcentral.
GAUGAAGAACGUAGCGAAAUGCGAUAAGUAAUGUGAAUUGCAGAAUUCAGUGAAUCAUCGAAUCUUUGAACGCACAUUGCGCCCCUUGAUAUUCCGAGGGGCAUGCCUGUUCGAGCGUCAUUAUAACCCCUCAAGCUCAGCUUGGUGUUGGGGCCUGCUGCACUGGCAGCCCUUAAAAUCAGUGGCGGCGCCAUCUGGCUCUAAGCGUAGUAAUUCUUCUCGCUAUGGAGUCCUGGUGGAUGCUUGCCAUCAACCCCCAAUUUUUCUAUGGUUGACCUCGGAUCAGGUAGGGAUACCCGCUGAACUUAAGCAUAUCAAUAAGCGGAGGA